CCUACGGGGGGCAGCAGUGAGGAAUAUUGGUCAAUGGCCGGAAGGCUGAACCAGCCAUGCCGCGUGAAGGUCAGUGCCCUAUGGGCGUUAAACUUCUUUUGUGCGGGAGCAAUAAUGGUCACGUGUGGCCAGACGAGAGUACCGUACGAAUAAGCAUUGGCUAACUCCGUGCCAGCAGCCGCGGUAAUACGGGGGAUGCAAGCGUUAUCCGGAUUUAUUGGGGUUAAAGGGUGCGUAGGCUGUGAGGUAAGUCAGCGGUGAAAUGCCCCCGCUCAACGGGGUGAAGUGCCAUUGAUACUGCCUUGCUGGAAUGCGGAUGCCGUGGGAGGAAUGUGUGGUGUAGCGGUGAAAUGCAUAGAUAUCACACAGAACACCGAUUGCGAAGGCAUCUCACGAAUCCGCGAUUGACGCUGAUGCACGAAAGCGUGGGUAUCAAACAGGAUUAGAUACCCCUGUAGUC
RNAcentral lists this ribosomal RNA (460 nucleotides) under uncultured bacterium. Its description in RNAcentral is "partial 16S ribosomal RNA". It matches the Rfam family "Bacterial small subunit ribosomal RNA", at positions 338 to 795 of the family's 1533-position model. The record is from RNAcentral.